This 468-nucleotide ribosomal RNA is filed under the name uncultured bacterium. RNAcentral's name for it is "partial 16S ribosomal RNA". It matches the Rfam family "Bacterial small subunit ribosomal RNA", at positions 28 to 507 of the family's 1533-position model. The record is from RNAcentral.
GACGAACGCUGGCGGCGUGCUUAACACAUGCAAGUCGAACGGAAAGGCCCUGCUUUUGUGGGGUGCUCGAGUGGCGAACGGGUGAGUAACACGUGAGUAACCUGCCCUUGACUUUGGGAUAACUUCAGGAAACUGGGGCUAAUACCGGAUAGGAGCUCCUGCUGCAUGGUGGGGGUUGGAAAGUUUCGGCGGUUGGGGAUGGACUCGCGGCUUAUCAGCUUGUUGGUGGGGUAGUGGCUUACCAAGGCUUUGACGGGUAGCCGGCCUGAGAGGGUGACCGGCCACAUUGGGACUGAGAUACGGCCCAGACUCCUACGGGAGGCAGCAGUGGGGAAUAUUGCACAAUGGGCGGAAGCCUGAUGCAGCAACGCCGCGUGCGGGAUGACGGCCUUCGGGUUGUAAACCGCUUUCGCCUGUGACGAAGCGUGAGCGACGGUAAUGAGUAAAGAAGCACCGGCUAACUACGUG